AGACGAUGCCAUGAGGAAGUCGGGUUCGGCUCACAACAAGUCCAGCAGUGACAUGGAAAACCACGUCUAUGGCAAAGCUAAGUCCAGGGAGGAGUACUUAUCUCUGGUGGCCAGACUCAUCAUUCACUUCAGAGACAUUC
Long non-coding RNA from Cynoglossus semilaevis (tongue sole), 140 nucleotides. RefSeq lists it as uncharacterized. The transcript is spliced from 2 exons. The record is from RefSeq and is a predicted model, not a curated record. Lineage: Eukaryota; Metazoa; Chordata; Actinopteri; Pleuronectiformes; Cynoglossidae.